UUUCCGUUGGUGAACCAGCGGAGGGAUCAUUACCGAGUUUACAACUCCCAAACCCCUGUGAGCAUACCUGUUUUGUUGCUUCGGCGGUGCCCUCGCUCUCGCGGCGAGGCCCGCCAGAGGACCCAAACAAACUCUUUGACUUUGAUCUAGGAUUAUACUUCUGAGUGAUACAAAAAAUAAAAUCAAAACUUUCAACAACGGAUCUCUUGGUUCUG
This 215-nucleotide unclassified non-coding RNA is filed under the name plant metagenome. RNAcentral describes it as "partial contains small subunit ribosomal RNA, internal transcribed spacer 1, and 5.8S ribosomal RNA". The record is from RNAcentral.